RNAcentral lists this ribosomal RNA (731 nucleotides) under uncultured soil archaeon. RNAcentral describes it as "bacterial SSU rRNA". It matches the Rfam family "Archaeal small subunit ribosomal RNA", at positions 1 to 742 of the family's 1478-position model. The record is from RNAcentral.
UCUGGUUGAUCCUGCCAGACCCGACUGCUAUCAGAGUGGGACUAAGCCAUGCGAGUUAACGUAGCAAUACGUGGCACACGGCUCAGUAACACGUGGUCAACAUACCCAGAGGACGUGGAUAACCUCGGGAAACUAAGGAUAAACCGCGAUAGACCAUAAUGUCUGGAAUGAUUUAUGGUUCAAAUCUAUACGGCCUCUGGAUUGGACUGCGGCCGAUCAGGCUGUUGGUGAGGUAAUGGCCCACCAAACCUGAAACCGGUACGGGCUCUGAGAGGAGAAGCCCGGAGAUGGGCACUGAGACAAGGGCCCAGGCCCUAUGGGGCGCAGCAGGCGCGAAACCUUUGCAAUAGGCGAAAGCCUGACAAGGUUACUCUGAGUGAUCUCCGCUAAGGAAAUCUUUUGACACCUCUAAAAAUGGUGUAGAAUAAGGGGUGGGCAAGCCUGGUGUCAGCCGCCGCGGUAAUACCAGCACCCCGAGUGGUCGGGACGAUUAUUGGGCCUAAAGCAUCCGUAGCCGGUUCUUUAAGUCCUCCGUUAAAUCCACCUGCUUAACAGAUGGGCUGCGGAGGAUACUAUAGAGCUAGGAGGCGGGAGAGGCAAGCGGUACUCAGUGGGUAGGGGUAAAAUCCGUUGAUCCAUUGAAGACCACCAGUGGCGAAGGCGGCUUGCCAGAACGCGCUCGACGGUGAGGGAUGAAAGCUGGGGGAGCAAACCGGAUUAGAUACCCGGGU